Molecule: ribosomal RNA, 119 nt
Organism: Lepisosteus oculatus (spotted gar)
Lineage: Eukaryota; Metazoa; Chordata; Actinopteri; Semionotiformes; Lepisosteidae
Source: Rfam
GCCAGCAGCCAUAUCACCCUGCAACUCACAACUGGCAGCCCACUGAAGCUCAGCAGGUGUGAGCCUGGUCAGUACCUGGAUGGGAGACUUUCUGGGAAAAACUAAGGUUGCUGCUGGAA